UACGAAGGGUGCAAGCGUUACUCGGAAUUACUGGGCGUAAAGCGUGCGUAGGCGGUUUGUUAAGUCUGAUGUGAAAGCCCCGGGCUCAACCUGGGAAUGGCAUUGGAUACUGGCAGGCUAGAAUGUGGUAGAGGGUGGUGGAAUUCCCGGUGUAGCGGUGAAAUGCGUAGAGAUCGGGAGGAACAUCCGUGGCGAAGGCGGCCACCUGGACCAACAUUGACGCUGAGGCACGAAAGCGUGGGGAGCAAAC
This 250-nucleotide ribosomal RNA is filed under the name uncultured bacterium. RNAcentral describes it as "partial 16S ribosomal RNA". It matches the Rfam family "Bacterial small subunit ribosomal RNA", at positions 524 to 773 of the family's 1533-position model. The record is from RNAcentral.